Molecule: long non-coding RNA, 1086 nt
Filed under: Scleropages formosus (Asian bonytongue)
Lineage: Eukaryota; Metazoa; Chordata; Actinopteri; Osteoglossiformes; Osteoglossidae
Description: lncRNA (ENSSFOG00015027085.1)
Source: RNAcentral
AUGACUGGAAAUGGUCAACAUUGUAGAGAGAGCCUCUGGUGUAGAUCACUUGCCCUAAGUGGGAUCACCGCGAGCCGGAGCCUAACCUGGCAACAGAGGGCAGGGCACAAGGCCGAAGGAGGAGGGGACACAGCCUGGACAGGAUGCCAGUCUGUUGCAAGCCUACCCAAGGAGGGCUCAAACCCCAGACCAACCACACAGCAGGCACUGGGUGAACCUGCUGCACCACCGUGCCCUCUGCAUGGCACAUAUAGUACAAUGAAUUGUUAUUGGUACAAUCACAUUUACCUUAGGACUGAAAUCCUAAGAAAUGAAAUGAAAGUUUACUACUGAAAUGAAAGUUUAUGCACGCAGUGUAAAUCACAUGGAGUGCACCCUCCCUGAUAUUGGGGACAGCUGGUAGUGGUUAGAGCACCUGCCUUUGGACCCAAAAGUUGCAGGUUUGAGCCUCCCCUCUCGCUGUUGUACCCCUGAGCAAGGUACUUACCCUGAAUUGCUCCAGUAAAAAUUACCCAACUGUAUAAACAGGUAAAUAAUUGUAACCUUAACAUUGUAAGUUGCCUUGGAGAAAAGUGUCAGGUAAAUGAGUACAUGCCCUGUACUGUAUAGUAUGUGAUGUAAGGACUGGAGAGCAGAGGGUGUCUCUCUCAAUUACGUUCUGUCUAUAUGCAUCGAAAGGGGUGUCAGUCUGCGCUACCGCAAACGCUGCAGGUGGAAAGGCGCAGCUCUCAGCCUUGAAAGGAGCGGUGCCGUCCGUCUCGCAGUAAUUAGCUACCGCUCUGACUGACACUUGGAAAUGCUUCCGCGGAAAGUGGCGUACGGGAGCGGGUGUUCGGAGCAAAAUGCUGCUUUCGAGAAGGGAAAGCAACAGCGUAUCAAAGCGGGACAGAAACGUCGGCACGCCUGCAGGAGACAAACGGGACACCGACUGGAGUUAGGGGCCGUCGUGGAAUGUGAUUUGCGUCACUUUAUUUGUAGUAGCUCAAUCACAGCAACAAGUGCACUGUCACUGUCGCUAAUAACUGGAAGUCGCUUUGGAGAAAAGCGUCUGCUAAAUAAAUAGAUAAAUGUAAAUGUAAUAAGACA